RNA transcript from Diospyros lotus (date-plum), 1950 nucleotides. It is a transcript of the gene named E3 ubiquitin-protein ligase RGLG2-like, with no coding region annotated. The record is from RefSeq and is a predicted model, not a curated record. The transcript has 13 exons. Lineage: Eukaryota; Viridiplantae; Streptophyta; Magnoliopsida; Ericales; Ebenaceae.
GGGAGAGGAGAAAGGCAAAAUAGCAGUUGCGGAUAACUGUAGAACUAUAGGUAAAGUACAGACAUGGAGAGAGGCUAUGGGCUGUCAAUUGUCUGAUGCUCCGUGAAGAAGAUUCCUCGAACUAAGCCGCCCCAGAAAGAGCAUUCUAUUCUAUCCUCGUUUCCCCCACUAUCUCAGCAAAUGUGGCAGAGACAAGAUUGUGCCAUUCACUAGGAGAAGAAAUCACAUUCUUUAGCUCUUUGUAGAGUCUGUAAAUUCUAAAGGUCAUGGGUUGCAUAAGUUCUAAAAGAUCAGUUAGGAAAGGCCGGUAUUCAUCUUACCCUCCUAGCUUGUGCUCAUCAAAUGCUCAUGGUUAUCCAUCAUAUGCUCAACCGAACCAGCAACCUCCACCUCCACCUCAGAGGCAUGGUGGUGAGUCUAUAGAGAUUAGAAAGAAGCUCGAGAGGAAAUACUCGAGAAUAGCGGACAACUACAACAGCGUAGAGCAGGUUACCGAUGCCUUAGCAUCUGCUGGCCUGGAGUCUUCGAAUCUUAUUGUCGGUAUUGAUUUCACGAAGAGCAAUGAAUGGACAGGUACAAGGUCAUUUCAACGAAGAAGUUUGCACCAUAUUGGUGAUGUCACGAAUCCUUACGAACAAGCAAUAUCAAUUAUUGGAAGAACUUUGUCUGCCUUUGAUGAGGAUAACUUAAUUCCUUGUUUUGGAUUUGGAGAUGCAUCAACACAUGACCUGGAAGUUUUCAGUUUUUAUCCGGAUGAGAGAUUUUGCAAUGGAUUUGAGGAAGUACUGAGGCGAUAUAGAGAAUUAGUUCCUCAGCUGCGACUUGCAGGGCCAACCUCAUUUGCCCCCAUCAUUGAAAUGGCCAUUACAAUUGUUGAACAAAGUCGGGGUCAAUACCAUGUUUUAGUGAUUAUAGCUGAUGGACAGGUGACAAGAAGUGUUGAUACAGAGCAUGGCCAGCUAAGCCCCCAUGAAAAGAAAACCGUUGAGGCAAUCGUGAAAGCAAGCGAAUACCCUUUGUCAAUAAUUUUAGUUGGUGUUGGAGAUGGACCAUGGGACAUGAUGAAGGAAUUUGAUGAUAACAUCCCUGCCAGGGCCUUUGACAAUUUCCAGUUUGUGAAUUUUACAGAAAUUAUGUCGAAGAACAGUGACAGGUCCAGGAAAGAAGCUGUGUUUGCUCUUGCAGCCUUGAUGGAAAUACCUUCUCAGUAUAAAGCAACAUUAGAGCUCAACAUCUUGGGAGCUUGUAGAGGAAAGGCUAUAGACCGGGUUCCUUUGCCCCCUCCUCUUUACGGUCCAACUUCAUCUGGCACAUCAAAACCUUCACGAUCCAGCAGUUCCAGGCCAACUGCACCUUCUUCUGAUGAACAUGAUGUGGUUGGUGGGACAAGCCAGCCUCCAAGUUCUGCUUUCGAUAAUCACGUUUGCCCAAUCUGCCUCACUGAUCCGAAGAACAUGGCAUUUGGUUGCGGCCAUCAGACCUGCUGCGAAUGCGGGCAAGGCCUUCAGGUCUGCCCCAUCUGUAGAAGCAACAUCGAAACCCGGAUAAGACUCUAUUAGAAGGCACAUGAUGUUGCAGACAUUGUUGGUAGUGUUAAAAAUUAGCAUCAUGUAGCUUAGCUCCCCUACUUGGAUUCUCUGCAGGUUUUCUCUUUGAUGAAACUAACUGCUGUUGGCUUCCAAUGGACAUUGGCUUUGGCUUUGGUUGGAUAGCAGAUGAUGUCCUAAUCUGUAAGAAUGAUGCUUGGUGCCCCAUUUCUGGGUUGUAUUGAUGAGAGUUUAUACAGUACACAAGGAGUGCAGUAACUGGAGGAGAAUUUAUCUGUAAAUUUUCUCGGGAAAAUUACCAUGCAACAAACCAGGUGAACAUCGAGUUGUUGAAGGUUUCAAUACUUCCAUAUUGUGUUGAAUUUUAUGUGCCCCAAUUUUUAAUUAUAUUAUAUUUGUUUUA